Molecule: ribosomal RNA, 556 nt
Filed under: uncultured archaeon
Lineage: Archaea
Description: bacterial SSU rRNA
Rfam family: Archaeal small subunit ribosomal RNA
Source: RNAcentral
CGGGGUGCACCAGGCGCGAAAACUUUACACUGCGGGAAACCGCGAUAAGGGGACCCCGAGUGCCAGCACCUAGUGCUGGCUGUCCAGUUGUCCAAAUAACAACUGUUAGCAAGGGCCGGGCAAGACCGGUGCCAGCCGCCGCCGGUAACACCGGCGGCCCGAGUGGUAGCCGCUAUUAUUGGGUUUAAAGGGUCCGUAGCCGGCUUAUUAAGUCUUUUGGGAAAUCUGGCGGCUCAAUCGUCAGGCGUCCAAAAGAUACUGGUAGGCUUGGGACCGGGAGAGGUGGGAGGUACUCCAGGGGUAGGGGUGAAAUCUCGUAAUCCUUGGGGGACCACCGAUGGCGAAGGCAUCCCACCAGAACGGGUCCGACGGUGAGGGACGAAAGCUGGGGGCACGAACCGGAUUAGAUACCCGGGUAGUCCCAGCUGUAAACGAUGCUCGCUAGGUGUCAGGUGCGGUGCGACCGCAUCUGGUGCCGCAGUGAAAACUUGAAGCGAGUCACCUGGGAAGUACGGUCGCAAGGCUGAAACUUAAAGGAAUUGGCGGGGGAGCACAA